This 253-nucleotide ribosomal RNA is filed under the name uncultured bacterium. RNAcentral's name for it is "partial 16S ribosomal RNA". It matches the Rfam family "Bacterial small subunit ribosomal RNA", at positions 524 to 776 of the family's 1533-position model. The record is from RNAcentral.
UACGUAGGGUGCAAGCGUUGAUCGGAAUUACUGGGCGUAAAGCGUGCGCAGGCGGUUGGGCAAGACCGAUGUGAAAGCCCCGGGCUUAACCUGCGAAUGGCAUUGGUGACUGCACGGCUAGAGUGUGUCAGAGGGGGGUAGAAUUCCACGUGUAGCAGUGAAAUGCGUAGAGAUGUGGAGGAAUACCGAUGGCGAAGGCAGCCCCCUGGGAUAACACUGACGCUCAUGCACGAAAGCGUGGGGAGCAAACAGG